GAGACGGAGUUUCACUCGUACUGCUGCCCAGGCUAUAUAGUGCAAUGGCACCAUCUUGGCUCACCACAACCUCCGCCUCCCAGGUUCAAGCGAUUCUCCUGCCUCAGCCUCCCGAGUAGCUUGGAUUACAGGCAUGCACCGCCACGCCCAGCUAAUUUUGUAUUUUUAGUAAAGAUGGAGUUUCUCCAUGUUGGUCGGGCUGGUCUCAAACUCCCGACCUCAGGUGAUCCUCCCGCCUCGGCCUCCCAAAGUGCUGGGAUUACAGGCAUGAGCCAUGGCACCCGGCCAGGCUGAGAAUUCUUAAGACAGGAUUUUUUAAGGAUAGUUUGGUAAGCAUGGGGCUAGGGGAUGGGUUGAUGUGUUGGGUACUAUGGGGAACGUGGAAGUGGAGAAUAGUGUGGACUUUUGAAAGGAUGUCUGCCUAGGAGUGGAGUUGGGCAUGAGGGCAGGACUAAAAAAGAGUGAGUGAAGGAAAAGGGGUACGUGUCUUCUGGCCAGGGAAUGUGUCUUCCGGCUGGCUCUCUUCCUGCUUCUGCUAUCUUGCUGACACACGCUGCUGGUGCAAGUGGCGUUGUGCCUUGGGACUGGGCCUGAGAAGGGGGGAGUUACUCAUCCCUUCAAGCUUUGGGUCCCCGGGGAGAAUCUUUCAAGUAUGAACCUGGCCUUGUGAAAGCAGAGCUCCAGUUACACAGUGUAUCCCGAAUCCAUGAAUGUUAUGAUGGUGCUAAUUUGAACCACUAAGAGGCCUUGUGAGAGUCUCUUCUUUCCCAGAAAAUGUGGGGAACACAGAGAGUGUCUUUCUGGAUAGACAUACCCAAGAAACUUCUGCUGAGGAAAGUGAAAGCAAAGAUACAACUUAUCCCAGAAAGGGGAGUGCAUAUGUAGAUGGUGAUAAGUAAUAUAGCCUGAAAUAUUCACAUGGAUAUAAUUAGAGUUAGGGUUAUAGUUAAGGAGGAAGGGAAGGGAGACAGAAAGAAAGCAAGUAAGAAAGGAAGCAAGAAAAGAUAAAACUGUGUCCAAGUUUCUUACUUGUAUUAAACAGAGUGUUUUUCUAGAUAUUGUUAACCAAGAUAAGGAAUCCCUAAAGAGAGGCAGGCUUGAUUUAGAGCUGUCUGAGGGCUUCCAAAAGAGCUGUUCAGUGAAUAAGAAGGAAUCCAACCAUGGAGCAUCAGAGUCUAAGUUGGAUGUAUAGGUUUGUGUGUCUUCAGUAUUGUCUUGUAUUUUAAGACAGAAUUAGAUGUGCCCAUCAGAAAUGAGUGUAUGGCAUGAAAAAGUUGCAGAUGGUAGGCCGCAGUGAACUCCAAUUGUUUGGAAGGCUUAACUUGAACCUUCCUAGGCUAGAGAAUUUUAAAUGACUGAGAUGUUUCUAAUGUGCCUAGAGCUUCUUUUCUAAUGAGCCCAGGGAGGGCUAGAAUCUCUAUCAGAGUUAGUCUGGGAUGUAAAGGGGAUCAGGAUGUGCCACCCCAAUAUAUGCCACUUUAGCCUAUGGAUUAUUUUGAGCAGUUAAAAAAUUAGAAAUAGCAGGCCUGGUGCAGUGGCUCAUGCCUGUAAUCUUAGCACUUUGGGAGACCGAGGCAGGUGGAUCACCUGAAGUCAAGAGUUCGAGACCAGCCUGGCCAACAUGGUGAAACCCCAUCUCUACUAAAAAAAAAAAAAAAAAAAAAAUACAAAAAUUAGCCAGGCGUGGUGUGGCACGCCUGUAAUACCAGCUACUCAGGAGGCUGAGGAAGGAGAAUUGCUUGAAGCCAGGAGGUAGAGGUUGCAAUGAGCCAAGAUCGUACCACUGCACUCCAGCCUGCGUGAUGGGAGCGAGACUCCAUCUCAAAAAAAAAAGAGAAAAAAAGAAAUUAGAAAUAGCAGACAUAUGAGGAUCUCUGACCUCCCUUUCCUGCUGAAAAGCAGGGCAUACAUUUUGCUUUUGUAAAAAAAUUUGCAUUUAUAAAAGCUUCCACCUCUCCCCUACCUGGAAGAGAAGGAAACUCUUCUACUCUAAUACUUGAAGGGGGCCUGCCUCUCCACACCUGUGGGUAUUUCUUGCAAGGUGGAGACGAGACACUGAGAAAAGAAAUAAGACACAGAGACAGUAUAGAGGAAGAAAAGUGGGCCAAGGGGACUGGUGCUCAGCAAGUGAGGACCUGCACCAGCAUUGGUCUCUGAGUUCCCUCAGUAUUUAUUGAUCACUAUCUCUACUAUCUUGGCGAGGGGGAUGUGGCAGGACUAUAGGGUAAUGGUGGCCAGAGGGUCAGCAGGAAAACAUGUGAGCAAAGGACUCUGUGUCAUAAAUAAGUUUAAGGAAAGGUGCUGUGCCUGGAUGUGCACAUAGGCCAGAUUUAUGUUUGACUUUACACAGACAUCUCAGUGCAGUAAAGAGCAGUAUUGCCGCCAGCAGGUCUCACUUCCAGCCAUAAGGCAGUUUUCUCCUAUCUCAGUAAAUAGAAUAUAUGAUCAGGUUUUACACUGAGACAUUCCAUUCCCAGGGACAAGCAGGAGACAGAUGCCUUCCUCUUGUCUCAGCUGCAAAGAGGCCUUCCUCUUUCACUAAUCCUCCUCAGCACGGACCCUUUAUGGGUGUCGGGCUGGGGGAUGGAGGUCUUUCCUUUCCUACAAGGCCAUAUCUCAGGCUAUCUCAGUGGCGGGAAACCUUAGACAAUACCCAGGCUUUCUUGGGCAGAGGUCCCUGUGGCCUUCCACAGUGCAUUGUGUCCCUGGGUACUUGAGAUUGGAGAAUGGUGAUGACUUUUACCAAGCAUACUGCCUGCAAACAUUUUUACCAAGGCACAUCCUGCACAGCCCUAAAUCCAUUAAAUCUUGAGUCAAUAUAGCACAUGUUUCUGCGAGCACAGGGUUGGGGCUAGGGUUACAGAUUAACAGCAUCUCAAGGCAGAAGAAUUUUUCUUAGUACAGAUCAAAAUGGAGUUUCUUAUGUCUUCCUUUUUCUACAUAGACACAGUAACAGUCUGAUCUCUCUUUCUUUCCCCCACAAUGCUUGUUUGAGGACAUGUAUUAUCACCAGAGAGGACUUGAAACUGCAUAACAAACCGUACUUGCCAGACAUUUCCUAAUCACCUUCUCACUGUUUACUCCCUCCCCCUAUAAUCGAUAAUCGCAAAGCUUCCUUUCCCUUUGACUAUUCUAUUCUCUUCACAAUUUAUCACCCCUUGUUAAAUGGUAUAUAAGCCCCCAGCCCUAAACUCCUACUUGGGUUUUCACUUCUCUUUUGUGAAGCCUCAUUAUGUAUGCAAAAUAAAAUUUUUCUACUGU
This 3261-nucleotide long non-coding RNA is filed under the name Homo sapiens (human). RNAcentral describes it as "HSALNT0326347". The record is from RNAcentral. Lineage: Eukaryota; Metazoa; Chordata; Mammalia; Primates; Hominidae.